AGAACUGCCCUCUGGGAAAGGAUUGCGUUACCAUGGAAUGUAAUACUUUUACUUUGAAGAAUUAUUCAGACGUUCACUUUUCCUUGGAGGGAGAUGUGCAUUUCAGAAAUCUAAAAGACUACGCAUCAAAUAUGCCUUUCCUGAAUCAAUUUACUGGAGACAAUCGAGAGGUCCAUUUUACAAGCUUUAUACAAAUUGACUACGAUGCUGGUAGAUACAUGCUGGAUGAGAAGAAGAUGCAGAUUGACAAGAAACUAAAGGCUAAUGUUCUUGUUGAGUUCACUGUGCCCCAAAAUAGACCACUUAUCAUUGGAACUGGAGUAGUGCUGGGAAUUUUGCUUCUUUUCUUGAUUGCAUUCAUUAUGUACAAGGUGAGAUUUUUAGUCUUUGGUCUGAAGAAUUUAAUUGAUUUUAUUGUGUUUGUUCUAACUGCUUUUUGUGCUUGAAGUGUGGCUGCUUCAAGAGGAAAACCCUUGAGGAUUAUCAAAACGAAGAAGACAAUCUCUCUGCUCAGAAUGGGUGUGCAUCUGAUUUGUCUCAUGAUAAAGCUGAACAAGUUGAGGAGGAAAAAGCUUUAAAUAAAGAUGAAGAGAAAGGCAGCAUCUCUGCUGCUUUGGAAUGAGACCAAGAGGCGGCGAUCAUUUGGGCUGAACUAAUUCAAACAUGAAGGAUGUUGGCCAUACAAUCCACCAAUUAAAGGGAAAUUAGAAUGAAAAACGUCCCGACUUGA
This is a long non-coding RNA of Cyprinodon variegatus (sheepshead minnow), 730 nucleotides long. RefSeq lists it as uncharacterized. The record is from RefSeq and is a predicted model, not a curated record. NCBI's taxonomy places the organism in Eukaryota, Metazoa, Chordata, Actinopteri, Cyprinodontiformes, Cyprinodontidae. The transcript is spliced from 4 exons.